Long non-coding RNA from Bombus impatiens (common eastern bumble bee), 93 nucleotides. RefSeq lists it as uncharacterized. The transcript has 3 exons. Lineage: Eukaryota; Metazoa; Arthropoda; Insecta; Hymenoptera; Apidae. The record is from RefSeq and is a predicted model, not a curated record.
CGAUGCCAAAUUAAUCUUGAGCAUGAUUUUCAAGGUCAACAUUUUUUUACCGCAGUGUAUUCUACUCAUCGCGAAAAGUCAUGAUUCGCAAAU